This 557-nucleotide long non-coding RNA is filed under the name Homo sapiens (human). Its description in RNAcentral is "novel transcript". Lineage: Eukaryota; Metazoa; Chordata; Mammalia; Primates; Hominidae. The record is from RNAcentral.
CUCUUUGGCAAAGUUGGGGUGCAGAUGGAGGGAUUGCUCUCCAUUGGCUCUCAUGAUGGUUCUUUCCCUGUAUCUGAGGCUUCUUACAGAUUUAUAUGCCAGAGCCAAGUCUCCAAGGGAAACCCAAGGUGUUACAGCCAGUGAUAUUGAUGAUUUAGUAGGAGGAUAAAUCCAAUCAGUGUUACUCUAUCUUGGUUGGAAGCAAGAAUCUCAUAAGUAUUCAGCAAACCAAGCAAACUUUUAAUAAGAAUCUGCAUUUCCACAUGUUGGUGGUUUGGAACAUCCCAGGAGGCCAAAGUCAUAACUUGAGGGAGAGAUGAUGCAACCCUAACCCAGGUUAAAAGGUUCUGAGUCACCUGCUCAGUUUACUUAUUGGCUCUGCCCAAGCCUGGUCUUUUAUAUUUUAUUUCCACUUGAUUAUAUAUUGCUUCUUGCCCAGUCAACCUUAUAGCUAGGUGUGUCAGAAACACCCAGUUCAUAAUGGAAAGCUCAGAACACAUAGUUACCUGACGUCCCAUGGUAGAGAUUCUAUCUCUCUUCUAAGCUUAGUAUAAAGA